AUGGCCUGGAUCCCUCUACUUCUCCCCCUCCUCACUCUCUGCACAGGCUCUGAGGCCUCCUAUGAGCUGACACAGCCACCCUCGGUGUCAGUGUCCCCAGGACAGACGGCCAGGAUCACCUGCUCUGGAGAUGCAUUGCCAAAGCAAUAUGCUUAUUGGUACCAGCAGAAGCCAGGCCAGGCCCCUGUGCUGGUGAUAUAUAAAGACAGUGAGAGGCCCUCAGGGAUCCCUGAGCGAUUCUCUGGCUCCAGCUCAGGGACAACAGUCACGUUGACCAUCAGUGGAGUCCAGGCAGAAGACGAGGCUGACUAUUACUGUCAAUCAGCAGACAGCAGUGGUACUUAUCC
Non-coding RNA from Homo sapiens (human), 347 nucleotides. The record is from the annotation of a RefSeq genome assembly. Lineage: Eukaryota; Metazoa; Chordata; Mammalia; Primates; Hominidae.